Molecule: long non-coding RNA, 1347 nt
Filed under: Anolis carolinensis (green anole)
Lineage: Eukaryota; Metazoa; Chordata; Lepidosauria; Squamata; Anolidae
Description: lncRNA (ENSACAG00000036551.1)
Source: RNAcentral
GUCGAGUUCCAGUCCAAGGUCCAGGAGUUGUAGUCAUCAAUUCAAGGUCCACAAAACGGAAUGGCACAAAGAGCCAAGGCAACGGAGGCAACAGCAGCUAAUGCAAAAUAGUAAUAACAGUGCAGUCCAGGAAAACCCACACAGUUCCAGCCCUCCGUUGCAGAACAACCCAGAUUAACUUACAUCUGAAGCAAAGUCGCAGCCCAGUCUUCAAUAACACGUACAGGAGUGCCAGUGGCGCCCAGCAGCACCUUGCUGCACGCAAAGUGAAGUGACCAAACAUUCCCAAUUUAUCUCAAUUCUCCCUGGGUGUCCAAACACCAACGCCCAAAGAGCAGGUGUUCCAAAUCCUCCAAUGAGCCCUCCUCGCGAGGGUUUUUCCUUCCUCUCCUGAUCCCACCACUAUCAUCCACAGUCCCCAAAGGUGCAGUCACAACAAAUGGUAAAAUGAAAAAAACCUAAAACUCAAAGAUUUAGUUUUGAAAACUUUAUUAAAGCAAUGGUAAAGUUAAAAAAACGCCUCAAAGUCAAAGAUUUAAUUUUGAAAACUUUAUUAAAGCAAUGGUAAAGUGAAAAAACCCAAAGUCAAAGAUUUAUUUUUCAAAACUUUAUUAAAGCAAUGGUAAAGUGAAAAAACUCAAAGUCAGAUAUUUAUUUUUCAAAGCUUUAUUUCUUAAAGCAUCAAGUCCUGGGUGUGGGCUUCGUAAUUCAAAGGGCCGGUCAUUGUCAUCGAGGAUCCUCUGCGGGAUAUAACUGUAAUAAAGAAAGAAAGAAAGAAAGAAAGAAAGAAAGAAAGAAAGAAAGAAAUCAAUAAAUGGAGGCUCAAAGAUCUCCCCCCACACCAUUUUUCUGCUUUUUAAUUUUACAAAACAAUUUCUUACAUCAUCACGUCCUGGGUGGCGGCUUUGGAAGGAAAAAUGGCCAGUUUGUUUUGUUGAACGUUGCAGAGCUGGUCCCGGGAGCAGCGGCGUUGGCUUCCUCUUUUAUGGGAGGCAGAAAGUAGGGCUGACGAUGUUGAUCGAUUGGUUGGCGGCUCUCCUUAUUUCCCGUCAGGAAGGGAUCCCCUGGAACGCAGGGGGGCCGGAUCCAGUCCGACCCCGUGUAGAUCAGGCGGAUCCCUUCCUUCUUCUCCAGGAGAGCCGCCGCUGCCAGCUCCCUUUCUUGACGUACUUUUUUUUCUUGCUGCCGCCGCUCCAGGGACUCCUAAUAUAAAAUAAAAAAGAAACAUUAUUAAUAUACCACUCUAUCUCCCAGGGCCCCCCUAUAUACAACAAACAAUAACUUAACAUAGCAAAAUAAACUAAAUAAUAUAAAAAAAAUAAACAAACCUUUUCCUGCCUUUCCUUC